This 462-nucleotide ribosomal RNA is filed under the name Staphylococcus aureus. RNAcentral describes it as "partial 23S ribosomal RNA". It matches the Rfam family "Bacterial large subunit ribosomal RNA", at positions 1048 to 1513 of the family's 2925-position model. Lineage: Bacteria; Bacillati; Bacillota; Bacilli; Caryophanales; Staphylococcaceae. The record is from RNAcentral.
CAAAAUAUAUGUUAAGUGGAAAAGGAUGUGGCGUUGCCCAGACAACUAGGAUGUUGGCUUAGAAGCAGCCAUCAUUUAAAGAGUGCGUAAUAGCUCACUAGUCGAGUGACACUGCGCCGAAAAUAUACCGGGGCUAAACAUAUUACCGAAGCUGUGGAUUGUCCUUUGGACAAUGGUAGGAGAGCGUUCUAAGGGCGUUGAAGCAUGAUCGUAAGGACAUGUGGAGCGCUUAGAAGUGAGAAUGCCGGUGUGAGUAGCGAAAGACGGGUGAGAAUCCCGUCCACCGAUUGACUAAGGUUUCCAGAGGAAGGCUCGUCCGCUCUGGGUUAGUCGGGUCUUAAGCUGAGGCCGACAGGCGUAGGCGAUGGAUAACAGGUUGAUAUUCCUGUACCACCUAUAAUCGUUUUAAUCGAUGGGGGGACGCAGUAGGAUAGGCGAAGCGUGCGAUUGGAUUGCACGUCU